UACGUAGGGUGCAAGCGUUAUUCGGAUUUAUUGGGCGUAAAGGGUGCGUAGACGGUAUAUUAAGUCAACUGUUAAAUUCUUCGGCCUAACCGGAGAUCAGCGGUAGAAACUGAUAUGCUAGAGGGUGGAAGAGAGAAGUGGAAUUCUCGGAGUAGCGGUAAAAUGCGUAGAUCUCGAGAGGAACACCGAUGGCGAAGGCAGCUUCUUGGUCCACACCUGACGUUGAGGCACGAAAGCGUGGGGAGCAAACAGG
This 253-nucleotide ribosomal RNA is filed under the name uncultured bacterium. RNAcentral's name for it is "partial 16S ribosomal RNA". It matches the Rfam family "Bacterial small subunit ribosomal RNA", at positions 524 to 776 of the family's 1533-position model. The record is from RNAcentral.